AUUGAACGCUGGCGGCAGGCCUAACACAUGCAAGUCGAGCGAGCGGCGGACGGGUGAGUCAUGUCUGGGAGACUGCCUGAUGGAGGGGGAUUACUACUGGAAACGGUAGCUAAUACCGCAUACCAUCAGAUGUGCCCAGAUGGGAUUAGCUGGUAGGUGGGGUAACGGCCAACCUAGGCGACGAUCCCUAGCUGGUCUGAGAGGAUGACCAGCCACACGGGAACUGAGACACGGUCCAGACUCCUACGGGAGGCAGCAGUGGGGAAUAUUGGACAAUGGGCGCAAGCCUGAUGCAGCCAUGCCGCGUGUGUGAAGAAGGCCUUCGGGUUGUAAAGCACUUUCAGCGGGGAGGCGUUACCCGCAGAAGAAGCACCGGCUAACUCCGUGCCAGCAGCCGCGGUAAUAC
Molecule: ribosomal RNA, 406 nt
Filed under: uncultured bacterium
Lineage: Bacteria
Description: partial 16S ribosomal RNA
Rfam family: Bacterial small subunit ribosomal RNA
Source: RNAcentral